UCAAACAUAUACAGGCCAACAUCAGGCCUACACUAACCAAAUACACACCAAGCCUACGCAUGAGUUCAAUACUCAUGUAGUGUUAGACACUUAGACUAUACAAGUAUCAUUAAUUGAUCAACCAACAAUCAAACAAGAACAUGAUCGGCCAACCAAUGAUACCGCAUAGCUUUAAUAUCCACCACCCUUCACAAGCAAUCCCUCAAACAUAUACAGGCCAACAUCAGGCCUACACUAACCAAAUACAC
This 248-nucleotide long non-coding RNA is filed under the name Brassica napus (rape). RNAcentral's name for it is "long non-coding RNA (BNAP_LNC004996)". Lineage: Eukaryota; Viridiplantae; Streptophyta; Magnoliopsida; Brassicales; Brassicaceae. The record is from RNAcentral.